UACGUAGGGGGCAAGCGUUGUUCGGAAUUACUGGGCGUAAAGGGCGCGUAGGCGGCUUUUUAAGUCAGACGUGAAAUCCCCCGGCUUAACCUGGGAACUGCGUCUGAUACUGGGAAGCUUGAGUUCGGGAGAGGGAUGUAGAAUUCCAGGUGUAGCGGUGAAAUGCGUAGAUAUCUGGAGGAAUACCGGUGGCGAAGGCGGCAUCCUGGACCGAAACUGACGCUGAGGCGCGAAAGCUAGGGGAGCAAACGGG
Molecule: ribosomal RNA, 253 nt
Filed under: uncultured bacterium
Lineage: Bacteria
Description: partial 16S ribosomal RNA
Rfam family: Bacterial small subunit ribosomal RNA
Source: RNAcentral